RNAcentral lists this transfer RNA (67 nucleotides) under Marmota monax (woodchuck). RNAcentral describes it as "tRNA.Undet". The record is from RNAcentral. Lineage: Eukaryota; Metazoa; Chordata; Mammalia; Rodentia; Sciuridae.
GGCUGUGGCUCAGUGGCAGAGCGCUUGCCUAGCAGGAGUGAGGCCCUGGGUUCGAUCCUCAGCACCA